RNAcentral lists this ribosomal RNA (880 nucleotides) under uncultured bacterium. RNAcentral describes it as "bacterial SSU rRNA". It matches the Rfam family "Bacterial small subunit ribosomal RNA", at positions 38 to 916 of the family's 1533-position model. The record is from RNAcentral.
GGGAUCCGGCAGCUAUACAUGCAGUCGUGGGGCAGCAGGGGUAGCAGUACCCGCUGGCGACCGGCAAACGGGUGCGGAACACGUACGCAACCUUCCUUUAACUGGAGAAUAGCCCCUCGAAAGAGGGAUUAAUACUCCGUAACAUAUAAAUGUGGCAUCACAAUUAUAUUAUAGCUCCGGCGGUUAAAGAUGGGCGUGCGCCUGAUUAGAUAGUUGGCGGGGUAACGGCCCACCAAGUCUGCGAUCAGUAACUGGUGUGAGAGCACGACCAGUCACACGGGCACUGAGACACGGGCCCGACUCCUACGGGAGGCAGCAGUAAGGAAUAUUGGUCAAUGGACGCAAGUCUGAACCAGCCAUGCCGCGUGGAGGAUUAAGGCCCUCUGGGUUGUAAACUCCUUUUAUCUGGGAAGAAAUGCAUUUUUUCUAAAGUGCUUGACGGUACCAGAGGAAUAAGCACCGGCUAACUCCGUGCCAGCAGCCGCGGUAAUACGGAGGGUGCAAGCGUUAUCCGGAUUCACUGGGUUUAAAGGGUGCGUAGGCGGGCAGGUAAGUCCGUGGUGAAAUCUCUGAGCUUAACUCAGAAACUGCCAUGGAUACUAUUUGUCUUGAAUAUUGUGGAGGUAAGCGGAAUAUGUCAUGUAGCGGUGAAAUGCUUAGAUAUGACAUAGAACACCAAUUGCGAAGGCAGCUUACUACACAGUUAUUGACGCUGAGGCACGAAAGCGUGGGGAUCAAACAGGAUUAGAUACCCUGGUAGUCCACGCCCUAAACGAUGAUUACUCGACAUCAGCGAUACACUGUUGGUGUCUGAGCGAAAGCAUUAAGUAAUCCACCUGGGAAGUACGAUCGCAAGAUUGAAACUCAAAGGAAUUGACGG